UGGGGAAUAUUGCACAAUGGAGGGAACUCUGAUGCAGCAACGCCGCGUGCGGGAUGACGGCCUUCGGGUUGUAAACCGCUUUCAGCCAUGACGAAGCUUUUGUGACGGUAGUGGUAGAAGAAGCACCGGCUAACUACGUGCCAGCAGCCGCGGUGAUACGUAGGGUGCGAGCGUUGUCCGGAAUUAUUGGGCGUAAAGAGCUUGUAGGCGGUUUGUCGCGUCGAUAGUGUAAACACGCAGCUUAACUGUGUGCCUGCUGUCGAUACGGGCUGACUAGAGGAGGGUAGGGGAGAAUGGAAUUCCUGGUGGAGCGGUGGAAUGCGCAGAUAUCGGGAGGAACACCAGUGGCGAAGGCGGUUCUCUGGACCUUUCCUGACGCUGAGAAGCGAAAGCGUGGGUAGCAAACAGG
This 409-nucleotide ribosomal RNA is filed under the name Fusobacteriota bacterium. RNAcentral's name for it is "Fusobacteria bacterium partial 16S ribosomal RNA". It matches the Rfam family "Bacterial small subunit ribosomal RNA", at positions 355 to 776 of the family's 1533-position model. Lineage: Bacteria; Fusobacteriati; Fusobacteriota. The record is from RNAcentral.